GAUUAGCCUGCGUCCGAUUAGCUAGUUGGUAGGGUAAAGGCCUACCAAGGCGACGAUCGGUAGCUGGUCUGAGAGGAUGGCCAGCCACACUGGAACUGAGACACGGUCCAGACUCCUACGGGAGGCAGCAGUGGGGAAUAUUGGACAAUGGGGGCAACCCUGAUCCAGCAAUGCCGCGUGUGUGAAGAAGGCCUGAGGGUUGUAAAGCACUUUCAGUGGGGAGGAGGACUGACAGGUUAAGAGCUGGUUAGUUGGACGUUACCCACAGAAGAAGCACCGGCUAACUCCGUGCCAGCAGCCGCGGUAAUACGGAGGGUGCGAGCGUUAAUCGGAAUUACUGGGCGUAAAGGGUGCGUAGGUGGUUUGAUAAGUUAUCUGUAAAAGCCCUGGGCUCAACCUGGGAAGGCCAGAUAAUACUGUUGAACUGGAGUAUGGGAGAGGGUAGUGGAAUUUCCGGUGUAGCGGUGAAAUGCGUAGAGAUCGGAAGGAACACCAGUGGCGAAGGCGGCUACCUGGCCUGAUACUGACACUGAAGCACGAAAGCGUGGGGAGCAAACAGGAUUAGAUACCCUGGUAGUCCACGCUGUAAACGAUGUCAACUAGCUGUUGG
Molecule: ribosomal RNA, 610 nt
Filed under: uncultured Legionella sp.
Lineage: Bacteria; Pseudomonadati; Pseudomonadota; Gammaproteobacteria; Legionellales; Legionellaceae
Description: bacterial SSU rRNA
Rfam family: Bacterial small subunit ribosomal RNA
Source: RNAcentral